RNAcentral lists this long non-coding RNA (4489 nucleotides) under Sus scrofa (pig). Its description in RNAcentral is "lncRNA (ENSSSCG00065031701.1)". Lineage: Eukaryota; Metazoa; Chordata; Mammalia; Artiodactyla; Suidae. The record is from RNAcentral.
UAAUUCAGAGUUGUGGCUUGGGCAAUGCCAAGAACCACAUCUGCACUGAAAUCAAUUAUCUGUUGGGCUACCGAUGUGCAGAACAAGCUCCCAAUCAGCCACGUGACCGCAAAGAUGACUUCCACUAACAUAGAUGGAGGAUGUGUAGCUCAUUUCAGUGGGACAUCCAGAGUCCUGUCUACAGUGGUUGGAGUUCUGGCUUAAAUUCAAGCAGCUGAAAACACAAGAAAUAAGAAGACCGUUUGAGAAGAGCAGAUAGUUGCCUUAAGAAAAUUCCUGUCAUAUGCACUCUGGGAUUUGGACUCAAAUCCUAAUUAUACAGUAAGAAAUAGUUGUACCGUGGACUAAGCAACACUGUUGCUUCAUGUAGAAUUUUGAGAGACUGCCUCAAGGAACUUGAGCCAUCCAGGAUCUUGCCAUCGGACAAGAUAUCAAUUUCCUUUGAAGGUACUUCUGGUCCGGCAAGUGCUAACUGAAUCACCUUGGUACUUGACAUCGAUGACUGUCAGCAUAAUAAAUGUCUGGUAAGAGUUUAUCUGGUUCAGUUCUUCUGGACUGGAGUGGAACCAUCUUCCAACUCCAUUGUUUGAAUCUCUGGCACCCCAGAGAUGAAGAACAGGGAAUUCUAUACUGUACUCUCAGAGCUUCUGUCUACAGACCAUUUAUGAUUCCACACCCACAAGAUGAUGAUUUCAGGAUGCAGUUUCAUGUGUAAGCCUGCCCCACCUGCACAGCUGAAUUGUAUUCUGUGUAUUCUGUGUGUGGAUGUUCCAAGUUGUAUACGGUAGAGUUGUCUCUGAGACAUAAAGACCAAUGUUCAAGGACCAGAGAGAGUCUUCAGGAACUAAGGGUAGUCUCCAGAUGACAUCCAGCAAGGAACUGGUUUCUGCCAACAACCUGAGUGAGCUUGGUAGGAGAGUCUCCCCUAGGGCCUCUAUACAACCUGACCUGCCAACACCUUGGUUUUGGUCCUGGGAGGCUCUCAGCAGAGAACCAGCUCAGUAACACUGUGCUGGGAUGUCUGGGCCUUUCCUAAGUGGAAGAUUCUUAAUUUGUGCUGAUGAAAGCCACCCAUUUUGUGGUGUUUGGCUCAUAUUGCUGUCUGAAGGCUUUCUUUGUCUUCUCCUGCCCCCUUCAUUUUCACAGGCAUCACCUCCACCUCUUGCAAUUAAGAAAAAAAAUACUUGAGAGAAGUAAGGUUGCAUGAUGAGAGUGCCUUGAUUUCUUAAGAAGCAACACUUUCACAUCAUAAGGGUGCCUGCCCCAGUGUCCUGUUAGAUAGUGAACUGGAGUCUCUAUACUGCCUGUGUGCAGUGAGGAAGAAAUGAGACGUCUUCCUGUUGUGUUUCAGGAAACAAACAGAACACCUUUGUUGUAAGAAAGAAGUUGGAAGAGACCAUUAAUUAUUUAAUUAUUUUUCUUAUCAUCUUCCAUUGCUUUAUUAUCCUUAUCUUUCAAUUCAUAUUUUAUGUGUUUUUUUGAAGUAUAGUUGAUGCACAUGACUAUAAUAAUUAAACAUGUAAAAUAUAAGGAUUCACAUUUUAAGUUACAUUCUGUUUAUACUUAUAAAAUAUCAGAUAUAUUCCUUGUUGUCACAAAAUAUAUGCUUGUCCCUUAUUUUAUACAUAAUAGUUUGUGGCUCUUAAUCUCUCUCCCUGUAUUACCUCUCCCCCUUCCCUCUCCCCACUGGUAGCCACUAGUUUUAUCUGUAUAUCUGUGAUUCUGUUUCUUGUUAUAUUCAUUAGUUUGUUGUAGAUUUUUUUAGAUUCCACAUAGAAGUGAUAUCAUACAGUAUUUGUCUUUCUCUGUCUGACUUAUUUUAUGUAGCAUAAUAUCCCUUGUGUCCAUCCAUGUUGUGCAAUGUUAUCCAUUCACCUAUGGAUGGACACUUAGGUUGCUUUGAUAUCUUGGCUAUUGUAAAUAAAGCUGCUGUGAACCCUAGAUUGCAUGUAUCUUUUCAAGUUGUUGUUUUUGGUGUAUUUUGGAUGCAUACCCAUCAGUAGAAUUGCUGGUCUUUUGGUAGUUCUAGUUUUAGUUUUUGUAGAAACCUCAGAAAUGAUCUCCAGGGUGGCUGUAUCAGUUUCCAUCCAGAUCAAUGCUGUACAAGAGUCCCCUUUUCUCCACAUCCUUGCCAGCAUUUGCUAUUUGUGUUCUUUUUGAUGAGAGCCAUUCUGACAGGUAUGAGUUUGUUUCUCAUUGUGGUUUUGAUUUGCAUUUCCCUAGAGACUAGUGAUGUUGAGCCUUUUUUCAUGUGCUUGUUUGGCCAUUUGCAUGUCCUCUUUGGAAAAAUGUCUGUUCAGGUCUAAAAAUAUGGAACGCUUCAUGAAUUUGUGUGCCAUUCUUGUGCAGGGGCCAUGCUAAUCUUCUCUGUAUCAUUCCAAUUUUAGUAUAUGGCUGCCAAAGUGAGCACCCAGUUUAUAUUUUAAAUUUAUAAAUUGAUAGUGUGGUAUCAGAGUGUUCUAAAAGGCUUCUUAAUAAAAUGUACCAUAGAAGAGCCUUAACACACCAUAAUCCCACUGUUCCCAUUUUACAGAUAGGGAAAUACAGGCCUAUAGGCCUGAAAUACUUCCCAGAAAGUCAUAGGACUUGGUAAUUAGUGGCAGAGCCAGAAAUGCAUGAGAGGAGUGAGCAAAUGAAAACUAAUUUUACUCUAUAUUUACUCUUUAAAAAGUAGUUAUUAACUUUUAAAAAUAUAUGUAACAUAAUAUUAUUUUUAAAUUUUUUUAAAUAAAUAUUGGGUAUCAGUUAAACAUUUGAUCUACGAAUGCUAAAACAUAGCCUGUCUUCUUAACUUUACCUCCAAAAAGGUGACUUUAUUAUGGGCAAGGAAUAUAAAAUGAAGUUAAAGAUGACAUUAGAGCCAAGAGAGCAUUUAAAGCUGAAGGGAAACUGGUCAUGAUUUAACUUGAAGAUAGUAAAGUAUAGGCACAGAAAUUGAGUAAUCAGAUGUACCCACCUUCAAGGAAGUAAACAAAUUUUGUAAUAAAAGAGUAUUUCCUCUACUAGUGAAUAUAAAACAAUUUGUAACCUACUUUAUGUUACUAUAAUAGGAGCAUCUAAUGAUAGUUCCAUUUCAUUUUCAUACUCUCUUUUAUCUCAAAACCUCCCCAGGAUACCUAGAAAUAUUAAUUUAUUAAGUCAUUCAAAAUUACAUUCAAUCAGAUAAGGAUAGACAAGAUCACCUCACUCUACUCACAUUUUUAAUGGGCUCAUCCCACUAAAUUGAGACUCACUAAUCUACUCUCCACAUUUCACAACCAUAUCGAGAUUUUUUUUUUAAUUAUUUUUGGCAAUGCCCAUGAUAUGCAAAAGUUCCUGGGCCAAGACUCUAGCCCAAGCUACAGCAGUGACAAUGACAGAUCCUUAACCACUAGGCUACCAGGAAACUCCUGAUGUCUAUAUUUUAGAAAGCUCUUCAGUUAUGUAGAGAGGUCCUUUAUAAAAUUAGAUAAAAAGAAUCACAAUGUUUGUAUAUAUUUCACAUGGAAUGUAAGCAUGAUUUGAUCAGAAGCCUUUUUUUUUUUUUUUUCUUAGCAAGCAUACAGCUAUAGCCAUUGCAGAAUUAUCUCUAUUUCUGGCUUUCUCUCUGUGUCUUCAAGCUGAUGCCACUGUUUCACUGUUUCAUACAGAAAGCUCAUCUCCAAUCACUGUAUCUGUGCUAGUUAGAGCCAGGGGUUACCAACUCUCAGUGGGAUAUAUUCGUACUGGAAUUAUUAAUAAUGUCCACCUCCUUCCUAACCUUUCUCAUUUCUGAUAUACAAUACUCAUCUUUCUGAGCAAGUGAGUUAACCCAGUACAGACAGUUUUAUCAUCUAGUUCUGGUGAUGUUCAUUUUUGGUUUUGUUGCUUAGGUUUACAAAGACAAUGAAAGCAGUUUUAAAGAGCAUGGAUAUAAUAUCAAUGGCACAUUUAUCUCAGCUACACAAUGGUCUGGAUUUAACAAUGACUGUAAACGUUUCAAGGGUUUGGGGCUGGCUGACAUGCUGAUGUUACACUUUGGUAGCUAGUUUUCUGAGUAAUAUGCCCUUAGGCAAGAAGUGGUCCAGAAGUAUACAUGAGAUAUCUAUAAAUUGAAUAGUGAAAACUAUUCUCAUAGGUGAUUGACUUACAAUAUCCAGAUAUCUAAAUUUGGUUCAUAUCUGAAACAUUUUCCAUAACAUCUUCUUAUAUGUGCUACAUCAAAUUGGAUUAUUGGUAAAGUUUCAAAACACUUAGUCUUGAAUUUUGUUCUUAGAAAUUGAAGAUGAGGGAGUUCCCAUCGUGGCUCAGUGGUUAACGAAUCUGACUAAGAACCAUGAGGUUGGGGGUUCGAUCCCUGGCCUUGCUCAGUGGGUUAAGGAUCUGGCGUUGCCGUGAGCUGUGGUGUAGGUUGCAGACGUGGCUCGGAUCCUAUGUUGAUAUGGCUCUGGCGUAGGCCGGUGGCUGCAGCUCCGAUUCGACCCCUAGCCUGGGAACCUCCAUAUGCCAUGAGAGUAGCCCAAGAAAUGAC